GACGAACGCUGGCGGCGUGCUUAACACAUGCAAGUCGAACGAUGAAGAAGAGCUUGCUCUUCGGAUUAGUGGCGAACGGGUGAGUAACACGUGACUAACCUGCCCCUUUCUCUGGGAUAACGCUCCGAAAGGAGUGCUAAUACCGGAUACUCACAUCGAGGCACAUGCCUUGAUGUGGAAAGCCUUUGCGGUGUGGGAUGGGCCCGCGGCCUAUCAGCUUGUUGGUGGGGUGAUGGCCUACCAAGGCGACGACGGGUAGCCGGCCUGAGAGGGUGACCGGCCACACUGGGACUGAGAUACGGCCCAGACUCCUACGGGAGGCAGCAGUGGGGAAUAUUGCACAAUGGGCGCAAGCCUGAUGCAGCGACGCCGCGUGAGGGAUGACGGCCUUCGGGUUGUAAACCUCUUUCAGCACCGACGAAGCGCAAGUGACGGUAGGUGCAGAAGAAGGACCGGCCAACUACGUGCCAGCAGCCGCGGUAA
RNAcentral lists this ribosomal RNA (483 nucleotides) under uncultured bacterium. RNAcentral describes it as "partial 16S ribosomal RNA". It matches the Rfam family "Bacterial small subunit ribosomal RNA", at positions 28 to 523 of the family's 1533-position model. The record is from RNAcentral.